AUUGAACGCUGGCGGCAGGCUUAACACAUGCAAGUCGAGCGGGGUGAUGGUGCUUGCACUAUCACUUAGCGGCGGACGGGUGAGUAAUGCUUAGGAAUCUGCCUAUUAGUGGGGGACAACAUCGCGAAAGGGAUGCUAAUACCGCAUACGUCCUACGGGAGAAAGCAGGGGAUCUUCGGACCUUGCGCUAAUAGAUGAGUCUCAGUCGGAUUAGCUAGUUGGUGGGGUAAAGGCCUACCAAGGCGACGAUCUGUAGCGGGUCUGAGAGGAGGAUCAGCCACACUGGGACUGAGACACGGCCCAGACUCCUACGGGAGGCAGCAGUGGGGAAUAUUGGACAAUGGGGGAAACCCUGAUCCAGCCAUGCCGCGUGUGUGAAGAAGGCCUUAUGGUUGUAAAGCACUUUAAGCGAGGAGGAGGCUACUGAGACUAAUACUCUUGGAUAGUGGACGUUACUCGCAGAAUAAGCACCGGCUAACUCUGUGCCAGCCGCCGCAGUAA
Molecule: ribosomal RNA, 501 nt
Filed under: uncultured bacterium
Lineage: Bacteria
Description: partial 16S ribosomal RNA
Rfam family: Bacterial small subunit ribosomal RNA
Source: RNAcentral